GGAACUCUGGACUCAACAUUUAGCUGAUGUUAUUCUGGAAUAUAGUCUUAAGAUGUCUGACCACCUAAAGAAACAUUUAACUACCCAGCUCGAGCUAUUGGACGAGUCAAGUUUUCAUCUACAGAGUAUCAUCAGUGAUUUUCUGCAGCAGAUCAAAACUAGAGCCAAUGAAUGUGUAGACAAUAUACCUGGCUCCAGUAAAGCUAUGAGAGAUGCAAUCGAUAUGAUAAAAACAGCACAAAGUACAAUACUAGAACACACAGACAU
Molecule: long non-coding RNA, 267 nt
Organism: Physella acuta
Lineage: Eukaryota; Metazoa; Mollusca; Gastropoda; Physidae
Source: RefSeq, a predicted model, not a curated record